AUGCGUUGUUGGGUAGGGGAGCGUUCUGUAAGCCUGUGAAGGUGUGCUGUGAGGCAUGCUGGAGGUAUCAGAAGUGCGAAUGCUGACAUAAGUAACGAUAAAGCGGGUGAAAAGCCCGCUCGCCGGAAGACCAAGGGUUCCUGUCCAACGUUAAUCGGGGCAGGGUGAGUCGACCCCUAAGGCGAGGCCGAAAGGCGUAGUCGAUGGGAAACAGGUUAAUAUUCCUGUACUUGGUGUUACUGCGAAGGGGGGACGGAGAAGGCUAUGUUGGCCGGGCGACGGUUGUCCCGGUUUAAGCGUGUAGGCUGGUUUUCCAGGCAAAUCCGGAAAAUCAAGGCUGAGGCGUGAUGACGAGGCACUACGGUGCUGAAGCAACAAAUGCCCUGCUUCCAGGAAAAGCCUCUAAGCAUCAGGUAACAUCAAAUCGUACCCCAAACCGACACAGGUGGUCAGGUAGAGAAUACCAAGGCGCUUGAGAGAACUCGGGUGAAGGAACUAGGCAAAAUGGUGCCGUAACUUCGGGAGAAGGCACGCUGAUAUGUAGGUGAAGUCCCUCGCGGAUGGAGCUGAAAUCAGUCGAAGAUACCAGCUGGCUGCAACUGUUUAUUAAAAACACAGCACUGUGCAAACACGAAAGUGGACGUAUACGGUGUGACGCCUGCCCGGUGC
This 669-nucleotide ribosomal RNA is filed under the name Escherichia coli. RNAcentral's name for it is "partial 23S ribosomal RNA". It matches the Rfam family "Bacterial large subunit ribosomal RNA", at positions 1216 to 1869 of the family's 2925-position model. RNAcentral also lists the same sequence under 1 other name. The record is from RNAcentral. Lineage: Bacteria; Pseudomonadati; Pseudomonadota; Gammaproteobacteria; Enterobacterales; Enterobacteriaceae.